ACCUGACUGCUAUCGGAUUGAUACUAAGCCAUGCGAGUCAUUGUAGCAAUACAAGGCAUACGGCUCAGUAACGCGUAGUCAACCUAACCUAUGGACGGGAAUAACCUCGGGAAACUGAGAAUAAUGCCCGAUAGAACAUUAUACCUGGAAUGGUUUAUGUUCCAAAUGAUUUAUCGCCGUAGGAUGGGACUGCGGCCUAUCAGUUUGUUGGUGAGGUAAUGGCCCACCAAGACUAUUACAGGUACGGGCUCUGAGAGGAGUAGCCCGGAGAUGGGUACUGAGACACGGACCCAGGCCCUAUGGGGCGCAGCAGGCGAGAAAACUUUGCAAUGUGCGAAAGCACGACAAGGUUAAUCCGAGUGAUUUCUGCUAAAGAGAUCUUUUGUUAGUUCUAGAAACACUAACGAAUAAGGGGUGGGCAAGUUCUGGUGUCAGCCGCCGCGGUAAAACCAGCACCUCAAGUGGUCAGGAUGAUUAUUGGGCCUAAAGCAUCCGUAGCCGGCUCUGUAAGUUUUCGGUUAAAUCUGUACGCUCAACGUACAGGCUGCCGGGAAUACUGCAGAACUAGGGAGUGGGAGAGGUAGACGGUACUCGGUAGGAAGUGGUAAAAUGCUUUGAUCUAUCGAUGACCACCUGUGGCGAAGGCGGUCUACCAGAACACGUCCGACGGUGAGGGAUGAAAGCUGGGGGAGCAAACCGGAUUAGAUACCCGGGUAGUCCCAGCUGUAAACUAUGCAAACUCAGUGAUGCAUUGGCUUGUGGCCAAUGCAGUGCUGCAGGGAAGCCGUUAAGUUUGCCGCCUGGGAAGUACGUACGCAAGUAUGAAACUUAAAGGAAUUGGCGGGGGAGCACCACAAGGGGUGAAGCCUGCGGUUC
This 876-nucleotide ribosomal RNA is filed under the name uncultured crenarchaeote. RNAcentral's name for it is "bacterial SSU rRNA". It matches the Rfam family "Archaeal small subunit ribosomal RNA", at positions 21 to 903 of the family's 1478-position model. Lineage: Archaea; Thermoproteati; Thermoproteota. The record is from RNAcentral.